GCAGAUUGUACAAUGCGGGGUGAGCGC
RNAcentral lists this non-coding RNA (27 nucleotides) under Bombyx mori (domestic silkworm). The record is from RNAcentral. Lineage: Eukaryota; Metazoa; Arthropoda; Insecta; Lepidoptera; Bombycidae.